Molecule: ribosomal RNA, 230 nt
Filed under: uncultured bacterium
Lineage: Bacteria
Description: partial 16S ribosomal RNA
Rfam family: Bacterial small subunit ribosomal RNA
Source: RNAcentral
AAAGGGUGCGUAGGCGGCCUGUUAAGUCAGGGGUGAAAGACGGUAGCUCAACUAUCGCAGUGCCCUUGAUACUGAUGGGCUUGAAUUGACUAGAGGUAGGCGGAAUGUGACAAGUAGCGGUGAAAUGCAUAGAUACCAGGAGGAAUACCGAUUGCGAAGGCAGUCUGCUGCAGUCACACUGACGCUGAGGCUCGAAGGUGCGGGGAUCAAACAGGAUUAGAUACCCGUGU